UGCAAGCCAUGGUCAAUAUUUGUUGUUCUGGGGUUAGUCAGUUGUGUUUAAUGAAGCAGACAGUGCCCCAAGAUAAAUAGCUGCUUACUGGAAAGAGUUUUCCCUGCUUCUUCCCAGAGACACCUCUGAACGUUCUGUAAGUAUCAAGUGUGCCUUUCCCGAUGCUGCUACAGUAGAGGGUGGCUUGGAGGGUACCAUGGGGGUGGUCUGUGUGCCAAUGGAGAUGUCAGGAAAGGGGAGAAGAGGAGCAGGUAUGAAAAAGGAGAUGAUAGUGAAAAAUGGGUUGAAAAGGAGGCUGCAGAAUAGAAGCAGCUUUAAAAAUGGGGAGAUGCAAAGGGUGGUUGGAAAUAGCAUCAGGCACGUACUGAAGUCAUGUAGGUGGUACAUGACUUCCGUCAGACUAGCCAAAAUAUACAAACUAAAAUCAAAUUUGUGUUGGAGAUGUCAAGAGGUGGAGGGAACGAUGUAUCAUGUAUGGUGGGGAUGUGGGGAAAUAAAAAAAUUAUGGAGCAGCAUUCACAAAGAACUAAAAAAGAUGUUUAGAACAUCAUUUGAGAAAAAGCCAGAAGUGUUUCUACUAGGCUUAGUCUCAAAAGACAUCCCCGGUGAUAAGAAAAAUGUGUUUUUAUGUGCCACAGCUGCUGCUAGACUACCAUUAGCCAAAAACUGGAAAGGGGCACUGCUCCCUCAGUAGCGGAGUGGCAAAACAAGCUUUGUGAAUUUAUAGAACUGGCUAAAAUGACAGCAGCUACUAGAUUCCAAUCAAAUCAAAAAUUAAAGAAAGAAUGGGAAUGUGUGGAAGAAUACAUGACAAAACAUUGCUUCAAAACAAAUUUAUUGAUAUGCAUUGACUGAAGUUCGUAAAGUUAAGGUUAAAAGAAGAAAAGUGACUAAUGGGGAAUAUGUAAAUAAUUUUCCUUAACACAAUAUUAUAGUAAUGAAUAAUAUUGAAAGCUGAGCAUGGAUGGAGCGAAGUCACAAUGGUAUAAAUCAGAAAAACGAAUAGACAGUAAUAUAUAUGUUGAUAGUAUGUAUUGUAAAGAAUGAUAAAAGGUGUAACUGAAUGUAACAAUGC
Non-coding RNA from Podarcis lilfordi (Lilford's wall lizard), 1075 nucleotides. The record is from the annotation of a GenBank genome assembly. NCBI's taxonomy places the organism in Eukaryota, Metazoa, Chordata, Lepidosauria, Squamata, Lacertidae.